This 782-nucleotide ribosomal RNA is filed under the name uncultured bacterium. Its description in RNAcentral is "bacterial SSU rRNA". It matches the Rfam family "Bacterial small subunit ribosomal RNA", at positions 56 to 807 of the family's 1533-position model. The record is from RNAcentral.
AGCGAGUCUGCCUUGAAGAUCGGAGUGCUUGCACUCUGUGAAACAAGAUACAGGCUAGCGGCGGACGGGUGAGUAACACGUGGGUAACCUGCCCAAGAGAUCGGGAUAACACCUGGAAACAGAUGCUAAUACCGGAUAACAACAGAUGAUGCCUAUCAACUGUUUAAAAGAUGGUUCUGCUAUCACUCUUGGAUGGACCUGCGGUGCAUUAGCUAGUUGGUAGGGUAACGGCCUACCAAGGCGAUGAUGCAUAGCCGAGUUGAGAGACUGAUCGGCCACAUUGGGACUGAGACACGGCCCAAACUCCUACGGGAGGCAGCAGUAGGGAAUCUUCCACAAUGGACGCAAGUCUGAUGGAGCAACGCCGCGUGAGUGAAGAAGGGUUUCGGCUCGUAAAGCUCUGUUGUUGGUGAAGAAGGACAGGGGUAGUAACUGACCUUUGUUUGACGGUAAUCAAUUAGAAAGUCACGGCUAACUACGUGCCAGCAGCCGCGGUAAUACGUAGGUGGCAAGCGUUGUCCGGAUUUAUUGGGCGUAAAGCGAGUGCAGGCGGUUCGAUAAGUCUGAUGUGAAGGCCUUCGGCUCAACCGGAGAAUUGCAUCAGAAACUGUCGAGCUUGAGUACAGAAGAGGAGAGUGGAACUCCAUGUGUAGCGGUGAAAUGCGUAGAUAUAUGGAAGAACACCGGUGGCGAAGGCGGCUCUCUGGUCUGUUACUGACGCUGAGGCUCGAAAGCAUGGGUAGCGAACAGGAUUAGAUACCCUGGUAGUCCAUGCCGUAAAC